This is a long non-coding RNA of Myotis lucifugus (little brown bat), 1755 nucleotides long. RefSeq lists it as uncharacterized. NCBI's taxonomy places the organism in Eukaryota, Metazoa, Chordata, Mammalia, Chiroptera, Vespertilionidae. The record is from RefSeq and is a predicted model, not a curated record. The transcript is spliced from 2 exons.
ACCGCUCUUGCGACUCCCAACCACUGACAGCCCGAAGGAGGAAGAACCCAGGGUUGGGUUCAUGCAGGAACAAGGGCAGGAGUGCAGGGACUGCCUCUGCCAGCCACUGGCCCAUGAGAGCCACACCGAGGUUCGAAGUCAGCCGGGCCAGAGGUUUGGGCGUCUUGGGCCACAGUGGCUUCCAUCCCCAGUCAUCACACACGAAUGGGCAAGGUCUUUCUGCCCAGGUCCCCACACCCAGCCCUUCCCGCCUUUGCCCACUGCUAACGAGACUGUCCAUCCAUCAGGCUGCACUUGCGCCAACUCUGCCCGCUGAGGUGGGUGGGCCAGGUCUGCACUGGGCUGCGUUGCCCUGAGGCACCUUCUCUGUGCCCUGCCAGCCAGUCUCUGCCUCCCGAGGGAAAGGUGUAGCUGGAAGAGUCAGCUCUUUGGGAGAGGAGACUGAGCUGGGGCUGGGGUUGAGGAGAUGGGUAAGGAUGGCAGAGGGGGCCGUGGCUACUGCUAACCCUGCAUGCCUGGGGCUGACCCUCCCUGGAGCGGCAGAGGCGGCUGUCGCCCUGCUGGGGGCUGGGAGCAGGGCUCUCUGCCAGACCCUCUCCUGGCCCCUGGAGGUUCUGGGUUGUAGUUUGAGGGAGCAGAGAGCUACCCCUCCCCCUGCCUUUGUCUGGUGUGGCUUGGAGAGGGGCCUUCCUCUCUCUAGAAAGCCCUCCGAGAGGCAUCCAGUUCCCUGGGGCUUAGGAUGGAAGCUGUUCGGGAGGACUGCCCAAGGUGGAAGUCCCACCCACCAUCCUGUAUGUCUGUCCUCUGAGGCCUGGAGCGGCUCAGAUUGCCCCAUCCUCACCCCUCAUCCACACCCCCUAUCCUCACCCCCAUCCUCACCGUAGGCCCUCAGCCCAGCUGUGUGUCAGCUGCUCCCUGUCCACUGAGUGUCCAAGGGCAACUCAGAAGUUCUCUGGUCUGCUUAACAGCCACCUCACCAGCCUCUCCCAGCCAUCACUUCUAAGCAGGUCUCUAACCCAGGGCCAGAGCCUAUUUUCUUGUAAGAAAGGUUUCAUUUUGGUGUAGGGCCUUCUCCUCAGCAGGUCCCUUUGUUCCCUGGCUCCCAGCACCCUGCCAGCAGCAUGUCCCCAUCCUCCCUCCUUCCUCAGCCACUGGUGGUGUGAACCUUCAGGCCAUGGAGCGAAGUCGGAUUCUCAUCUGCCUGAUGCAGAAAUUGAAACCUGGGGACUCUCUAAACAGCAGCCACGGACUCACUCACUCGUUAAACGGAAGAGGAAUCACAGAAGCUGGGGAAAGGAAAACAAACCUUCAAAGGAGAAAUUUCGUUUUAAUGACACCAUUAAUCAUUCGUUUUUUAAUUAGGAAAAGCUCCCUAAUGAGGCGUAAUCGGACUCUCAAUUUCCAUGAGAACUACUCUUGCCCAGGGGAUUAGGAGAGUCAUUGCUCACCAUGCCCAGCCUUUCCCCAGCGUCCAAUUUCAUUUGCAAAUAAUGCAGGUUCCCCAGGUGCCCGGAAGCCCUUUCCUGGCACCGGUCACGUUGCUCCCAGGGCUGGCUGGAAAGCACGGAUACUCCUCUGCCUUAAAAAACAGUGCCCAACGCUGAACUCUGCCCUCCCCACCCCCCAAGGAAGUGAGUGGAAAACAAAAAAACCAAGCAACAAUGCUUGUUUCUAAAUAUUUUUGUAUUGUGUACAUUCUGUAUAUUUUUGUUGUAACAUAUUAUUUGACCACAGAUUCCAUUAAAGAUUUUUUUU